GACGAACGCUGGCGGCGCGCUUAACACAUGCAAGUCGAACGGAAAGGCCUGCUUUCCCUUGUGGAUUGCGGGUACUCGAGUGGCGAACGGGUGAGUAACACGUGAGCGAUCUGCCCCCAACUUGGGUAUAAGCCUGGGAAACUGGGUCUAAUUCCCGAUAGGGCUGCAGGGUGGUGCCUGUGGUGGAAAACGAUUUUCUAGUGGUUGGGGAUGAGCUCGCGGCCUAUCAGCUUGUUGGUGGGGUAAUGGCCUACCAAGGCGGCGACGGGUAGCCGGCCUGAGAGGGUGGACGGCCACAUUGGGACUGAGAUACGGCCCAGACUCCUACGGGAGGCAGCAGUGGGGAAUAUUGCACAAUGGGCGGAAGCCUGAUGCAGCGACGCCGCGUGGGGGAUGACGGCCUUCGGGUUGUAAACUCCUUUCGACCGCGAGGAAGCCACCUGGUUGGAAGGGUGGUGACGGUAGUGGUAGAAGAAGCACCGGCUAACUACGUG
Molecule: ribosomal RNA, 494 nt
Filed under: uncultured bacterium
Lineage: Bacteria
Description: partial 16S ribosomal RNA
Rfam family: Bacterial small subunit ribosomal RNA
Source: RNAcentral